This 226-nucleotide unclassified non-coding RNA is filed under the name Hevea brasiliensis (rubber tree). Lineage: Eukaryota; Viridiplantae; Streptophyta; Magnoliopsida; Malpighiales; Euphorbiaceae. The record is from RNAcentral.
GGCACAAAGUAACUCACAAUGGCAUUAUUUUGAAGAUCGGAGUUGAACACAGUUAAACAUACAUAAAAUUUACAUUGAGCUUAAGUUUUGGCCGUAUAAGAAUUUUGCAAAAUUGAUCAUUAAUCUCAAAAUUCAUUUAGGACGUCUAACAAACACUUUAUCUACACCCAUGUAACAUCUCUAAAGUCUGCACAAUAAACUUGCAUUGAGAUGGUAAUUAGAUGCA